RNAcentral lists this small nuclear RNA (97 nucleotides) under Sorex araneus (European shrew). Lineage: Eukaryota; Metazoa; Chordata; Mammalia; Eulipotyphla; Soricidae. The record is from RNAcentral.
GUGCUUUGGCAGCACAUACACUAAAAUUGGAACGAUACAGAGAAGAUUAGCAUAGCCUCUGCACAUGUUUUAUGUAUGUUUUACUUUUCAGUUUUUU